RNAcentral lists this ribosomal RNA (1303 nucleotides) under freshwater metagenome. Its description in RNAcentral is "bacterial LSU rRNA". It matches the Rfam family "Bacterial large subunit ribosomal RNA", at positions 762 to 2165 of the family's 2925-position model. The record is from RNAcentral.
CGCACUGGAGGUCCGAACCGACUAGUGUUGCAAAACUAGCGGAUGAGCUGUGGAUAGGGGUGAAAGGCUAAACAAACCUGGAAAUAGCUGGUUCUCUCCGAAAACUAUUUAGGUAGUGCCUUGAGUCACUACGUUAUGGGGGUAGAGCUACUGAGCUGGUUUGGGGCCCUUCCCAGGGUACCCUGCCUAUCCAAACUCCGAAUACCAUAACGACUAUCUCAGGAGUUAGUCCAUGCGGGAGAAGCUGCAUGGUCGAGAGGGAAACAACCCAGAUCGCCUGCUAAGGUCCCAAAAAUUUGCUGAGUCACAAAGGAUGUCUGAAUACUGUGACAGCCGGGAUGUUGGCUUAGAAGCAGCCACCAUUUAAAAAGUGCGUAAUAGCUUACCGGUCGAGUAUUCUGGCACCGAUAAUGAACGGGAGUAAGCAAAUUGCCGAAGCAGCGGGCUCGCAAGAGCGGUAGGAGAGCGUCCUGAAUGCGUUGAAGCGAUACCGUGAGGAUUCGUAGAGCGUUCAGGAGUGAUUAUGCCGGAAUAAGUAACGAUAAAGCAGGUGAGAAUCCUGCUCGCCGUAAGCCUAAGGUUUCCUGGGGAAGGUAAAUCCGCCCAGGGUUAGCCGGUCCCUUAGUCGAGGCCGAAAGGCGUAGACGAUGGAAAUCAGGUUAAUAUUCCUGAGCCUAUUGUGGGGGACGUUGGACGAAUGAAGAUCGGGGAGUUGGUUUUCCCCGUGCCGCAAGGCCGAGCGUAAGUGAAGUCUUCUGCAGUACAACCAAGAAAAGCCCACAUAAUAUGACCGUACUAAAACUGACACAGGUAGGCGAGGCGCGUAGCCUCAGGCGCUCGGGAGAACGCUGGUUAAGGAACUCUGCAAAUUGGCCCUGUAACUUCGGGAUAAAGGGUGCCAUCGAAAGAUGGUCACAGCAAAGCGGCACUAGCGACUGUUUACUAAAAACACAGGUCUCUGCGAACUCGUAAGAGGAGGUAUAGAGACUGACGCCUGCCCGGUACCGGUAAGUUAAUAAAGAGGGUUAGCUUUCGGGCGAAGCCCGCAAUUGAAGCUCCGGUAAACGGCGGCCGUAACUAUGACGGUCCUAAGGUAGCGAAAUUCCUUGUCGGGUAAGUUCCGACCUGCAUGAAUGGCGUAACGACUGGUGCACUGUCUCAAUCAGCGACCCGGUGAACUUGUAGCCGUGGUGAAGAUGCGGACUACGUGCACCCGGACAGAAAGACCCUAUGAAGCUUUACUGUAGCUUGGUAUUGUGCCCGGGCUCUGAAUGCGCAGGAUAGGUGGGAGGCUUUGAUCCAA